RNAcentral lists this ribosomal RNA (561 nucleotides) under Pelurgoperla personata. RNAcentral describes it as "partial 16S ribosomal RNA". It matches the Rfam family "Bacterial large subunit ribosomal RNA", at positions 1796 to 2622 of the family's 2925-position model. The record is from RNAcentral. Lineage: Eukaryota; Metazoa; Arthropoda; Insecta; Plecoptera; Gripopterygidae.
UCGCCUGUUUUAUCAAAAACAUGUCUUCUUGAUUUAUAAUUUGAAGUCUGACCUGCCCACUGAGAUUAACUUAAAGGGCCGCGGUAUUUUGACCGUGCAAAGGUAGCAUAAUCAUUAGUCUUUUAAUUGGAGGCUAGAAUGAAUGGUUGGACGAGGUAUUGACUGUCUCUGUAUAAAUGAGUUUAGAAUUUAACUUUUAAGUGAAAAGGCUUAAAUAUUUUUAGAGGACGAGAAGACCCCAUAGAGCUUUAUAAUAAGUUUUUUAUAAUUUGUUUAGUAGUUUUUUUAUUAUAUUAAAUUAAUUAUUUUGUUGGGGUGACAGGAAGAUAUAAUAAACUCUUUUUAUUAAUGAAACAUUGAUUUAUGAAUUAUUGAUCCAUUUUUAAUGAUUAAAAGUCUAAGUUACCUUGGGGAUAACAGCGUAAUCUUUUUCGAGAGUUCUUAUCGACAAAAAGGGUUGCGACCUCGAUGUUGGAUUAAGGGUAAUUUUGGGUGUAGAUGUUCAAAGUUUAGGUCUGUUCGACCUUUAAAUCCUUACAUGAUCUGAGUUCAAACCGGAGA